Molecule: small RNA, 5551 nt
Filed under: Pongo abelii (Sumatran orangutan)
Lineage: Eukaryota; Metazoa; Chordata; Mammalia; Primates; Hominidae
Description: retained intron
Source: RNAcentral
UUAUCAUCCUUCAAGUGGGGCUGAACACCAUUGCAGACCUUUGGUACCUGUUCGGAGACCUCAGUCUUUCAUUGGUGAGCACCCAAGCGUUUGCUGUGGAAAUGUUUUUGCUCCCUGAUGUUGCUGAGUAGGAGCCGGUGGCCUUCUGUCUCUGCUGCAGGUGGCAGAGUGGCUGUGUUCUGGGUCCCGGGUGGGCUGGACCCCCCACCCUCCGCAGACAGCAGGACAUCAGGGAGUGGGCCCAGCUGAGGACUGGAUAGGGUUCAAGGGAGAGGAUGGAUUAACAUUCUUGGAAGUCUCUUUUUGCAUUUGUUUUAUAAUGUCUGUCUUUUUUUUUUUUUUUUUUUUUUUUGAGAUGGAGUUUCGCUCUGUUACCCAGGCUGGAGUGCAGUGGGCCGAUCUUGGCUCACUGCAACCUCCGCCUCCUGGGUACAAGUGAUUCUCUUGCCUCAGCCUCCCAAGUAGCUGGGAUUACAGGCACAUGCCACCAUGCCCAGCUAAUUUUUGUAGUUUUAGUAGAGAUGGGGUUCUACCAUGUUGGCCAGGUUGUUCUCAAACUCCUGACCUCAAGUGAUCCGCCCGCCUUGGCCUCCCAAAGUGUGGGGAUUACAGGCAUGAGCCACCGAGCCCGGCCUGAACUCACAAUUUUCAUUUCCUGACCCACAGUCUCCAUAUUUGGAGGCCAGUAAGGGCCUUUACGGUUUAUUAUUUAUUAAGGGCUGAUUCUGUGCCAGGCAGUAUGCGAAAUGCUUUACCUCCAUUAUCUCAUUUACCCCUCAUAAUAGUCCUAUGAGGUGGGGAGUUAUUACCCUGAUUUUCAAAUGAGGAAAUCAAAACCUACAGAGGUAAUGACUCCCCCGAGGCCAUCGGGGAGUGAGAGGUGUAUCUAGGAGUCACAACCAGGUUAGGUUGGCCCCAGGCCGUCACUCUGCUGUGGUGCUGCUCCAUCACCUCCGAACCAACUCCUAACAAGUUUAUUCAUUCAUUCAUUCAUUCAUUCAUUCAUUCAUUCAUUCAUUCAGAAAAUAUAUAAAGACCAUCCAUCCACUGUGUGUGAGGUGCUGGAAUAUACAGAUGAAUACAAUAUGGUCCCCACCCUCUGUGGUCAAUGGAGAGAGAGAAAUAAGGAAGCAGGCAGUUACAGUCAGCCAGGAGUGCUGGGAGAGCACAGAAAAGGGCGCUCGGCCAGUCCCAGGCAAUCCAGGAAGGCCUCUGGGAGGAAGCCGCGAAGUUAAGAUAAGGAGCCAUUAGCCAUGUGAUGGGUUGGUCUGGGACAGUAGAGGAAGCACUGGGAAAGUUCAAGGAGGUUAGCGUCCCUGGAACAUGGAGCGGACUGGUGAGCAGCUAUGUUGCAGAUGCAAGUUCCUUGUCCUUGGCACAGUGACAUCCUGGGGUCUUGGGUGUAGAGCCUGGAGAGGUGGCAGAGGGCUGGCCCAUGUUUAUCUUGUGUAGUGCUUGGGUGGUGGGUGUUACAGAAAGGCUUAGGGUUUCCACAUAGUCUUCUCUCCUCUUGGCCAUUUUUUAUGAUUAUGACCUAUAUAUUAAAAGCUAUAUAUAAUGCAUGCAUAGUGCCUAAGGAAUAAUGAGGUCUCACGUGCCUAGCACCCCACGCUGGCCUCUGUUUGCAGGUGACUGUGGGAAAACACCUGACUGCUCGUGUCCUGUGCCUCAUAGUGCUGCCCCUGGCUCUCUACACAGCCACCUUUGCUGUUCACUUCAUGGUGCUGAGUAAAAGUGGCCCUGGUGACGGUUUCUUCAGUUCUGCCUUCCAGGCCCGGCUCUCAGGGAACAACCUGCACAAUGCUUCCAUCCCUGAACACCUGGCCUACGGCUCUGUGAUCACUGUGAAGAACCUCCGGAUGGCCAUCGGCUAUCUGCACUCCCACAGGCACCUCUACCCCGAGGGCAUUGGUGCCCGUCAGCAGCAGGUCACCACCUAUUUGCACAAGGACUACAACAACCUGUGGAUUAUCAAGAAACAUAACACAAACUCAGAUCCCCUAGACCCUUCCUUCCCAGUGGAGUUUGUAAGACAUGGAGACAUUAUUCGACUAGAACACAAAGAAACUUCCCGGAACUUGCACAGUCACUAUCAUGAGGCCCCCCUGACCCGGAAGCACUAUCAGGUCACCGGCUAUGGCAUAAAUGGAACAGGGGACUCAAAUGAUUUCUGGCGGAUUGAGGUCGUAAACAGAAAAUUUGGAAACCGGAUCAAAGUGCUGAGAAGUCGAAUUCGCUUCAUCCAUUUGGUCACAGGUUGUGUCCUGGGCUCCUCAGGAAAGGUUCUGCCCAAGUGGGGCUGGGAGCAGUUGGAAGUUACUUGCACCCCAUACCUGAAAGAAACCCUCAACUCCAUCUGGAAUGUGGAGGACCAUAUCAAUCCCAAGUUGCCAAACAUCAGCUUGGAUGUGCUGCAGCCCAGUUUUCCUGAGAUGUUGCUGGAAUCCCACAUGGUCAUGAUCCGGGGGAACAGUGGCCUCAAACCCAAGGACAAUGAGUUCACGUCCAAACCCUGGCACUGGCCUAUCAACUAUCAGGGCCUACGCUUCUCAGGGGUCAAUGACACAGAUUUCCGAGUCUAUCUGCUUGGCAACCCGGUGGUUUGGUGGCUCAAUCUGUUGAGCAUCACCCUCUACCUCCUCUCAGGGAGCAUCAUUGCUGUAGCCAUGCAGAGAGGGGCACGGCUGCCAGCGGAGGUUGCAGGGUUGUCCCAGGUCCUGCUGCGAGGAGGCGGCCAGGUCCUGCUCGGCUGGACACUCCAUUACUUCCCGUUUUUCCUGAUGGGCCGGGUCCUCUACUUCCACCACUACUUCCCAGCCAUGCUCUUCUCAAGCAUGUUGACAGGCAUUCUGUGGGACACCCUCCUGCGGCUCUGUGCCUGGGGCUUGGCCUCGUGGCCCCUGGCCAGGGGCAUACACGUGGCGGGAAUCCUGAGCCUGCUCCUGGGAACCGCCUACAGCUUCUACCUCUUCCACCCUCUGGCUUACGGGAUGGUUGGUCCCCUGGCCCAGGACCCCCAAAGUCCAAUGGCAGGACUAAGGUGGCUGGACUCAUGGGACUUUUGAGGCUACUGCAAAGAUUCCAGCCUGGGUCCAGGAACUUCCCAGUAGAGCCAGCUGGGAAGCAGUACUGGACCCAUCCAGCCGUGAGGAAGCUGCCUAAGGAGCCCCAAGAAUUCUGCUGCCCACCAGGACCCAGCUCUGGGAGUGCAGCUGGAAUGGAACCCAGCAUUGGAGAGAGCCGGGAGAGAGCCGCAGCUCCAUCCACAGCACCACAGAGAGGACAGCACCUCUCGGGCUGCUCCCUUGUGCACAGCGCAGGGGAGGAUGGGUGCCAGAGGGUGGGAGUGGGUGCGCGUGUGUGUAUGUGAGGACACGUUGUCCAUAUCCCUGUGGAAUACAGGCCGUGUAACUGGACAGCUGAGUGUCAUAAACUCUAAAAUAGUCCAGGCUAUAGUAAUAUUUUCUGGUAUUUUUUUCGUGUUGGAUUUCUUUGGUUUUGGUUUGUAAGAUCCAUCAAAGAUUCUCAGACCCCUAAGAGGGCCUUGAGGGCAGAGAAUACUGACCUCACCUUGGGAUGUCACCAAAGGCAGAGCAGAUGGGACUGUCAAAGUCGUGCUGCCCUCCCUCCCACAAACAAAAUGAAUCCAGUGUGGAGGAAGGCGCGCCGCCCCUAGCUGGAGGGCCUGGCUCCCACCACGCCAGGUAGCUGGACUUCCUGCCUCUGAUGCACACAGAGCAGCAGACUCCGGAGCGUCGGCCUGCCUUAGCCCUUGGUUCCUCAUUUUUUGGGAUUGUCACACUGUGAGACUCAGGGGAGGAACGAUGUCCUAUCCUAGGCUGCUCAGUGUUUCCAGGCCCCGUGUGCCAGAGGCCGGGUCUCUCCACGUGCAUCUGGCCUGGCCUGGAGGGCAAGGCAGAUGCAUUCUCCUGGCUGCUGGGAGAGCCCAUGGGAACCUUGCUUAGCGCCCAAGGUAGAUGAGAGACAGGGCAGGGAAUCUGCGUGGUGCUGGGGUGUGGGGACUCUGGCCUCUCCAGACUAAUGUUGCUGUCACCUGCUGAGCUUUCCCAGUGUCACUUCUGCAGUCCUGCUCUGCUCACCCCUCCCUCACUCCGUGGACAGUUCCCUUUCUCUCUGUCACUGCUUCAGCAGUGAAGACCCAUGGCACCUAGAAAUGCAUGCCAGCUUCCUGCGUCUACCACUCUGCAGCUCGAACAAGAAGCUCAGAGCUGCCCCUUCCACUUCCUCCCCAAAAGGGAUGAAGAAAACCCCGUGGUAGAACCAAACCACCCAAGGCCAGCCCUUCAGCCUGCCUCUGCCUUCCUGGUGCAUGACAAAAUAUUUCUUUUGUCUCAGAGGACUUUGAUGCUUCAAGAUUUAAUGAUGAAUCUGCCACACUCCAUUUUCCCUCCUCUGAAGCUCCCAACAACUCUGACAGGGUCAGAUCUCUCUAAAGCAUCUUCAGGAGGCGGUUGCCACGGAGACUGGAUACUGGUCCCAGGGACAGGCUGUGCUACCUACUGGGUGGUGGGGGGGGAAGCUUCUGGCCAUGGUUGGACAUUCAGACCUACCAUCAUUAAUGUUAAUAGAGGAAAUGCAGCAACGUCAAAAGCAAGGCAGGUUGGUUAAUUAGAUCUGGGGCCCGAUGACCUCCCUUUCCCACCACUACAGCCCUUUUGACUUCCCCCAGCAGGAAGCGCUGUCUGUGCGGCUGAGUCUGGGCUGCUUGCUUAAUUGCAUUUCUGGCAGGGAAGGAGAGGAGGGAUGGAGAAGCUCUGCUCCCUGCUUCCACCUCACCAUGUGUUCUCCCCUCCCCUCCCUUCCUCUACUUUCCACAGGCAGAAUUGCUUUCUUCUGAGCCGGGUGGGCUCUCCUGCAGGGAGAAUGCAGGGGUCUGUGCUUGGCUCCUAGCAAAGCAGGCGGCCCACAGUGACCUCCAGGAGGUGGCUGAUUUUCCUUUGUGCCUUCUUAUUUCUCAGUAGGAACUUGGAAGGGAGGAGCUCUGAAGGAGCCAGAGGGGCAGCCAUCUUGCAUGAGGGUGAGGAAGGAGAAGCCCAGCCAGCCUCUACCCAUCCCUCCCUCCCAAUUAGGCUGCACUGGGGCCGAAGGCUUCCCUGGGCUCCCACUGCCUUCUAAGGAGCCAAGGAGAAUUCCCUGCCCACUUUCUGUUCCUCCAUGCCCAAACUGGCAGAUGCUUCUCUGGGGGCAAGGCCACAUGGGCUUCUGCAGCUUUGAGUGCUCAGGUUCUGUUUUCUGGAAGAUGCUGGAGAAGGGCUGUCAGGGUGCUUCUCUGAAUAAGGGCUUUGAGUGCUCAGGUUCUGUUUUCUGGAAGGUGCUGGAGAAAGGCUGUCAGGGUGCUUCUCUGAAUAUGGGCUUCAGCUGUAGCACUUGGCAGAAACGUGAUGUGUCCCACAAACUGCUGGUGGAGGAAGAAGACAUUCGUCAGCCAGUUCAACCUCCAGCCAGCUUCUUGAGCCUAUUUGGUUUAAAAAAAAAAAAAAAGUCUUCUAAUCAGAAGCCACUGAUUUUAUAAUAAAUAGCACUUGUUUUG